AGAGUUUGAUCAUGGCUCAGGAUGAACGCUGGCGGCGUGCUUAAUACAUGCAAGUCGAACGAAGCUCCUUUUCUUCGGAUGAGGAGUCUUAGUGGCGAACGGGUGCGUAACGCGUUGGUAACCUGCCCCAAAGAGGGGGAUAACAGUUCGAAAGGACUGCUAAUACCCCAUACGAUCAUCAGGGUUAGAUACUUGAUGAUUAAAGGAGUAAUCCGCUUUGGGAGGGGCCUGCGUCCCAUCAGCUAGUUGGUAGGGUAAUGGCCUACCAAGGCGAUGACGGGUAGGGGACCUGAGAGGGUGGCCCCCCACACUGGCACUGAAAUACGGGCCAGACACCUACGGGUGGCAGCAGUAGGGAAUAUUGGACAAUGGGCGAAAGCCUGAUCCAGCAACGCCGCGUGCACGAUGAAGGUCUUCGGAUUGUAAAGUGCUUUUAAGGGAGAUGAGAAAGGACAGUAUCCCUUGAAUAAGCCUCGGCGAACUACGUGCCAGCAGCCGCGGUAAAACGUAGGAGGCGAGCGUUAUCCGGAUUUACUGGGCGUAAAGCGCGUGUAGGCGGCACGGCAAGUUGGAUGUGAAAGCUCCCGGCUUAACUGGGAGAGGUCGUUCAAAACUGCCGAGCUAGAGUGCGGGAGAGGGAGGUGGAAUUCCGGGUGUAGUGGUGAAAUGCGUAGAUAUCCGGAGGAACACCAGUGGCGAAAGCGGCCUCCUGGCCCGCAACUGACGCUCAGACGCGAAAGCUAGGGUAGCAAACGGGAUUAGAUACCCCGGUAGU
This 775-nucleotide ribosomal RNA is filed under the name uncultured bacterium. RNAcentral describes it as "bacterial SSU rRNA". It matches the Rfam family "Bacterial small subunit ribosomal RNA", at positions 8 to 794 of the family's 1533-position model. The record is from RNAcentral.